Rhipicephalus sanguineus (brown dog tick) is the source of this 635-nucleotide long non-coding RNA. RefSeq lists it as uncharacterized. The transcript has 3 exons. The record is from RefSeq and is a predicted model, not a curated record. NCBI's taxonomy places the organism in Eukaryota, Metazoa, Arthropoda, Arachnida, Ixodida, Ixodidae.
AAAUAGUCACCAGAUGCCGAAUCUCUGCGACUGCUUUGUUCGGUGUGACCGACGGACGCGAUUCAUAGUUUUGAAGAACACCUUCUUCAAAUGUUUCCGCACGUCAGUGAGUAGCAGCGCCGCAAUCCUUUGUCGACGACGCGUUCUGUGGCCCUGGAAAAUGCCUUGACGCUCGGGGACGGCCGGUAGCUCGGCGAUUCCUCGCUUGGCGCACCAUUGAAAACCGGCGGUCAUCCAGCAGUGUACGCUGCCAGCGUAUUUUUAUUGCCAGAGGUAGCAAACAGCAGUGCCACAACAAACAGUGGAGUGCUGACCAUGCAGUCCAGAAGGUGGCUGAGGCAAGUAUGCUAUAGGAGGUGCUUAUUCAGGCAGAAGAAAUAAGCAUCUGUAGCCAACGUAAAGUGCUUUGACUGUGCUUCCUCACCGCACCGCUCUGGCACAGUGGCACACCGAGGAAGCCCCUCUUCAGGAUGGUCAGGCUGAGCGAGAAACUGAAACCAGCUGGAAUGUUUGUUCUAUCCCCUGUGGCUUCAUUAUUACACCACUUAAUCAAAAAAUUCAUGUGACAACAUGUUCACGUUGUACAAGCGUGCAGUUGUCACAAAUUUUAGACUCCGGGGUUGUUUAGGGGCCCU